ACUUACUGUAAUUACGGGAAACGAUUAUAUUUAACACUUUGAAACUUUUCAAUGUUGCGUGUGCACUUAGGAAAAUAUUCCAUAAUUACAAAAUGUCAACAACAACAAUUCAACAAAGUCAACAAUUACAAAAAUUAUGAUCGAAAUAACGUUGUGAAGAGCACAAUUUUCUGCCAAACUAAACCGAGUGGCAACAAAUCUCAGUGGAAAAUUUGGCAUAUAUCAUUUAGUUUAUAUCAACUUUUGUGAAAGUUUUUUUUUCAAUUGUACUGUUAUUGCUUGGUUUUUCUGUUCACAGAAUUAAAACUUAUGAAAUUACUGUAGUUUCAUACCUCAAUAUAAUGGUCGAAAUUAAGAUCCCAUAUUGUGCCUUUAACCCCUAAAUUCACAAAUGAACCCAAUUUUCGACUCCGUGCAACGAACUGAGAAAUAUCGUAGUAACUACGGAGAGGCUGAAAUUCCCGUCGCUGUUCUCGAAUUAACUACGUGAUAAGUAGAAGGGAUCAAAUAAAACUGCCAAACAUUAUGAAUGCCUAGAUCGCCGAUCCGACGUCUCGGCGGGUUUGUUUUGCUCGACAGCGGAAACAGCCAUCACGGGCUAUUUAGUUUAGCCUCGAUAUCGAUAUGGAACACAGGUCGCGUUUUGUUUUGGUAUUUUGAACUGUUUUAUUUUGCAGUUUGUGUUAUUUUUGGUUUUCUUCUUGGUAUUCUAGCGAAGAUCCGGGGUCCGUUGGAGGUACUUUGCCGCCCAGUAAGGGUUUCACUGUGCAACUUUAAGUGUGUACAGGGUAACCCCCCAGGGUUUUAUAUAUUGUCUUGUUAUAAAGUUUUAUUAAAGGCUUAACUAAUGAUAAUAAAGGUGCUGCCAUACUGAUCACGAAUAU
This is a long non-coding RNA of Wyeomyia smithii (pitcher-plant mosquito), 884 nucleotides long. RefSeq lists it as uncharacterized. The transcript has 2 exons. The record is from RefSeq and is a predicted model, not a curated record. NCBI's taxonomy places the organism in Eukaryota, Metazoa, Arthropoda, Insecta, Diptera, Culicidae.